This 119-nucleotide ribosomal RNA is filed under the name Betta splendens (Siamese fighting fish). Lineage: Eukaryota; Metazoa; Chordata; Actinopteri; Anabantiformes; Osphronemidae. The record is from RNAcentral.
GCUUACGGCCAUACCACCCUGAGCACGCCCGAACGCGUGUGAUCUUGGAAGCUAAGCAGGCUCGGGCCUGGUUAGUACUUGGAUGGGAGACUGCCUAGGAAUACCAGGUGCUGUAAGUU